AUUGAACGCUGGCGGCAUGCCUAACACAUGCAAGUCGAAUGGCAGCACAGUGUGUAGCAAUACACAUGGGUGGCGAAUGGCGGACGGGUGAGUAAUACGUAAGGAUCUGCCCAGAAGAGGGGGACAACCCGGGGAAACUCGGGCUAAUACCGCAUACUACUCUGAGGAGGAAAGGUUGGAGCAAUCCAGUCGUUUUUGGAGGAACUUACGUCUGAUUAGCUAGUUGGUGAGGUAACGGCUCACCAAGGCGAUGAUCGGUAGCUGGUCUGA
RNAcentral lists this ribosomal RNA (270 nucleotides) under uncultured bacterium. Its description in RNAcentral is "partial 16S ribosomal RNA". It matches the Rfam family "Bacterial small subunit ribosomal RNA", at positions 30 to 295 of the family's 1533-position model. The record is from RNAcentral.